RNAcentral lists this ribosomal RNA (1369 nucleotides) under uncultured bacterium. Its description in RNAcentral is "bacterial SSU rRNA". It matches the Rfam family "Bacterial small subunit ribosomal RNA", at positions 28 to 1381 of the family's 1533-position model. The record is from RNAcentral.
GACGAACGCUGGCGGCGUGCCUAAUACAUGCAUGUAGAACGCUGAAGAGAGGAGCUUGCUCUUCUUGGAUGAGUUGCGAACGGGUGAGUAACGCGUAGGUAACCUGCCUUGUAGCGGGGGAUAACUAUUGGAAACGAUAGCUAAUACCGCAUAACAAUGGAUGACACAUGUCAUUUAUUUGAAAGGGGCAAUUGCUCCACUACAAGAUGGACCUGCGUUGUAUUAGCUAGUAGGUGAGGUAACGGCUCACCUAGGCGACGAUACAUAGCCGACCUGAGAGGGUGAUCGGCCACACUGGGACUGAGACACGGCCCAGACUCCUACGGGAGGCAGCAGUAGGGAAUCUUCGGCAAUGGGGGCAACCCUGACCGAGCAACGCCGCGUGAGUGAAGAAGGUUUUCGGAUCGUAAAGCUCUGUUGUAAGUCAAGAACGAGUGUGAGAGUGGAAAGUUCACACUGUGACGGUAGCUUACCAGAAAGGGACGGCUAACUACGUGCCAGCAGCCGCGGUAAUACGUAGGUCCCGAGCGUUGUCCGGAUUUAUUGGGCGUAAAGCGAGCGCAGGCGGUUUGAUAAGUCUGAAGUUAAAGGCUGUGGCUCAACCAUAGUUCGCUUUGGAAACUGUCAAACUUGAGUGCAGAAAGGGAGAGUGGAAUUCCAUGUGUAGCGGUGAAAUGCGUAGAUAUAUGGAGGAACACCGGUGGCGAAAGCGGCUCUCUGGUCUGUAACUGACGCUGAGGCUCGAAAGCGUGGGGAGCGAACAGGGUUAGAUACCCUGGUAGUCCACGCCGUAAACGAUGAGUGCUAGGUGUUGGAUCCUUUCCGGGAUUCAGUGCCGCAGCUAACGCAUUAAGCACUCCGCCUGGGGAGUACGACCGCAAGGUUGAAACUCAAAGGAAUUGACGGGGGCCCGCACAAGCGGUGGAGCAUGUGGUUUAAUUCGAAGCAACGCGAAGAACCUUACCAGGUCUUGACAUCCCGAUGCUAUUUCUAGAGAUAGAAAGUUACUUCGGUACAUCGGUGACAGGUGGUGCAUGGUUGUCGUCAGCUCGUGUCGUGAGAUGUUGGGUUAAGUCCCGCAACGAGCGCAACCCCUAUUGUUAGUUGCCAUCAUUCAGUUGGGCACUCUAGCGAGACUGCCGGUAAUAAACCGGAGGAAGGUGGGGAUGACGUCAAAUCAUCAUGCCCCUUAUGACCUGGGCUACACACGUGCUACAAUGGUUGGUACAACGAGUUGCGAGUCGGUGACGGCAAGCUAAUCUCUUAAAGCCAAUCUCAGUUCGGAUUGUAGGCUGCAACUCGCCUACAUGAAGUCGGAAUCGCUAGUAAUCGCGGAUCAGCACGCCGCGGUGAAUACGUUCCCGGGCCU